UACGUAGGUGGCAAGCGUUGUCCGGAAUUAUUGGGCGUAAAGCGCGCGCAGGCGGUCCUUUAAGUCUGAUGUGAAAGCCCACGGCUCAACCGUGGAGGGUCAUUGGAAACUGGGGGACUUGAGUGCAGGAGAGAAGAGUGGAAUUCCACGUGUAGCGGUGAAAUGCGUAGAGAUGUGGAGGAACACCAGUGGCGAAGGCGGGUCUCUGGACAGUUCCUGACGCUGAGACGCGAAAGCGUGGGGAGCAAACAGG
Molecule: ribosomal RNA, 253 nt
Filed under: uncultured bacterium
Lineage: Bacteria
Description: partial 16S ribosomal RNA
Rfam family: Bacterial small subunit ribosomal RNA
Source: RNAcentral